This 496-nucleotide ribosomal RNA is filed under the name uncultured bacterium. RNAcentral's name for it is "partial 16S ribosomal RNA". It matches the Rfam family "Bacterial small subunit ribosomal RNA", at positions 28 to 507 of the family's 1533-position model. The record is from RNAcentral.
GAUGAACGCUGGCGGCGUGCCUAAUACAUGCAAGUCGAGCGAACAGACGAGGAGCUUGCUCCUCUGACGUUAGCGGCGGACGGGUGAGUAACACGUGGAUAACCUACCUAUAAGACUGGGAUAACUUCGGGAAACCGGAGCUAAUACCGGAUAAUAUAUUGAACCGCAUGGUUCAAUAGUGAAAGACGGUUUUGCUGUCACUUAUAGAUGGAUCCGCGCCGCAUUAGCUAGUUGGUAAGGUAACGGCUUACCAAGGCGACGAUGCGUAGCCGACCUGAGAGGGUGAUCGGCCACACUGGAACUGAGACACGGUCCAGACUCCUACGGGAGGCAGCAGUAGGGAAUCUUCGCAAUGGGCGAAAGCCUGACGGAGCAACGCCGCGUGAGUGAUGAAGGUCUUCGGAUCGUAAAACUCUGUUAUUAGGGAAGAACAAAUGUGUAAGUAACUAUGCACGUCUUGACGGUACCUAAUCAGAAAGCCACGGCUAACUACGUG